GGAAGUGUCAUAGACUACAAAUUGUGUAAUUAGACCAUUAAACACAAAAACGAUGUUUCAAGUGAGAAUUAUGCAGGUCUGAUGCUGAAAAAGCCACUUUCUGUGUGGGAACAACCUCUGUGAGAAGUAGGAGGACCUGAAGAGCUGGGAGGUGAACUUUGCCCAUGCGGAGCAGGGAGAGAAGAGAAACACACGGGUCAAACUCAGAGAAAGGAGGUGAUCGCCAAGAAAA
Long non-coding RNA from Oncorhynchus tshawytscha (Chinook salmon), 232 nucleotides. RefSeq lists it as uncharacterized. The record is from RefSeq and is a predicted model, not a curated record. The transcript is spliced from 3 exons. Lineage: Eukaryota; Metazoa; Chordata; Actinopteri; Salmoniformes; Salmonidae.